CACUCCUGCGGGAGGCAGCAGUGGGGAAUAUCGCACAAUGGGCGCAAGCCUGAUGCAGCCAUGCCGCGUGUAUGAAGAAGGCCUUCGGGUUGUAAAGUACUUUCAGCGGGGAGGAAGGCGAUAAGGUUAAUAACCUUGUCGAUUGACGUUACCCGCAGAAGAAGCACCGGCUAACUCCGUGCCAGCAGCCGCGGUAAUACGGAGGGUGCAAGCGUUAAUCGGAAUUACUGGGCGUAAAGCGCACGCAGGCGGUCUGUCAAGUCGGAUGUGAAAUCCCCGGGCUCAACCUGGGAACUGCAUUCGAAACUGGCAGGCUAGAGUCUUGUAGAGGGGGGUAGAAUUCCAGGUGUAGCGGUGAAAUGCGUAGAGAUCUGGAGGAAUACCGGUGGCGAAGGCGGCCCCCUGGACAAAGACUGACGCUCAGGUGCGAAAGCGUGGGGAGCAAACAGGAUUAGAAACCCCGGUAGUCCC
RNAcentral lists this ribosomal RNA (471 nucleotides) under uncultured organism. Its description in RNAcentral is "partial 16S ribosomal RNA". It matches the Rfam family "Bacterial small subunit ribosomal RNA", at positions 334 to 797 of the family's 1533-position model. The record is from RNAcentral.